UAGCUUUGAUCUUGGCUCAGAACGAACGUUGGCGGCGUGGAUGAGGCAUGCAAGUCGAGCGAGAAAGCACCUUCGGGUGUGAGUACAGCGGCGGACGGGUGAGUAACACGUAAUCAAGCUGCCCCCGAGACCGGGAUAACAGGAGGAAACUUCUGCUAAUACCGGAUGGAGUUGUCGGAUCGCAUGGUCUGGCGAGUAAAGGUUGGGAUCCUGCGGGACCUUCCGCUCGGGGAGGCGAUUGCGGCCUAUCAGCUAGUUGGUGAGGUAACGGCUCACCAAGGCGACGACGGGUAGCAGGCCUGAGAGGGUGGUCUGCCACACUGGGACUGUGACACUGCCCAGACUCCUACGGGAGGCUGCCGUACAGACGGAUCCGCAAUGGGCGAAAGCCUGACGGAGCGACGCACCGUGGAGGAGAAGGCCUUAGGGUUGUAAACUCCUGUCACGAAUUAUGAAUGGCGUACGGUGAACAGCCGUGCGUUUGACGUAAGUUCGAGAGGAAGCACCGGCUAACUCUGUGCCAGCAGCCGCGGUAAUACAGAGGGUGCAACCGUUGUUCGGAAUCACUGUUUAUAUGGCGCACGUAGGCGGCCAGUCAAGUGCGGAGUGAAAUCCCACGGCUCACCCGUGGAACUGCUUUGCAUACUGACUGGCUGGAGGACGGUAGAGGAGAGCGGAACUCUUGGUGGAGCGGUGAAAUGCGUAGAUAUCAAGAGGAACACCAAAGGCGAAGGCAGCUCUCUGGUCCGUUUCUGACGCUGAGGUGCGAAAGCCAGGGUAGCGAACGGGAUUAGAUACCCCGGUAGUCCUGGCCGUAAACGAUGGGCACUAGCUAGCGGUGGUCC
RNAcentral lists this ribosomal RNA (845 nucleotides) under uncultured Planctomycetales bacterium. RNAcentral's name for it is "bacterial SSU rRNA". It matches the Rfam family "Bacterial small subunit ribosomal RNA", at positions 9 to 832 of the family's 1533-position model. Lineage: Bacteria; Pseudomonadati; Planctomycetota; Planctomycetia; Planctomycetales. The record is from RNAcentral.